UAACAUGAAAUACUUGAAAUUUCACGAAUUUUCCUGUUUUCCAAGUGUAUGUCGAAAAGGCGAUUGUGAUGUAACAGCUAGUACAGGACGGCAAAUUAAAUAGACAAUUCGAUUCAAUAUGCUGUAACGAUGAUGGAUUAAAUAUAAAAUUCCUUUGUCUAGCAUACUACCAAUUUCUUUGUAAAAACGUUUAAUGUUAAGUCUCCUUUAUUUUACAUACACUACACUACUACUACACAGCGUUAUCCUCGACGGGCCUGAUGUCUAUCUUACAUGUAGGAGCUACAUAGUGGAAAAUUUAAGGUAAACAACACUAAAUCGACAGAACAAGAUUAAUAUCUAUUUAGAAUGCAUAUAAAAUCAAAGUGAGACGUUGAAACAAUUUCCGAGGUACGUCUAAAAACCUCCAAAGGUCUCAAACAAAAUCAAACUCUAUCAAUCAUGACCGGUCGUAAACGCUCACGAACACUGAAAUGCUAUAGGAACGAAAGAGGGAUCUAAUUAUGUUUAGAGAUGCGCUAAGAUCAAUAGUCAUCGUCGCAUUUGCCCGUUAACAAAUAUUAUUACGAUUUAAAUGAAAAGCAGCUUUAUUAAAGAGCCUAAGGGAAGAAUCAAUGCUCCGAAAAAAAAAGACAAAGUAAAAGAGGGCGUAAACUGUAACCUAACGCAGAUGUUAUACCUCAAUAAUUAUACCAUUUUACACGAGCAAAAUGAAAAGACAGAAAGGAAUAUUCGGGAAAGCAAAACUAUUAAGUUCAUCAAAAAAUAUUUGUUCGUUAAAAACCAAAAGGAUUGUCUGGAGUAGCUUGAUAUAUACUGGCUUUCUUACCAGCUUCAUUCGCACCUUGCGCUCCACCAAAUGAUGAAUCAUAAUAAUUAGCAGGCUGCGUUUGUUGAUUAUAAUCGGAGGGCAUGUAUAAAGAAGCAUUCGAUACAGGAUCAUAACUCAUAGGGUUAGCCAUAUUCCCAGCAGGUUGAGCAUAGCCAUAUUCAGAAUAUCCCUCCAUUCCGGUUUGAUUGUAUCCAUAGGGUGUCUGUUGUUGCAUUUGCAUGGGAUCGUAAUAGUUCGACAUCAUCGGUUGUUGAUAACCCAUAUCAGGCUGCAUUUCUGUACCAU
Molecule: non-coding RNA, 1117 nt
Organism: Schizosaccharomyces pombe (fission yeast)
Lineage: Eukaryota; Fungi; Ascomycota; Schizosaccharomycetes; Schizosaccharomycetales; Schizosaccharomycetaceae
Source: the annotation of a GenBank genome assembly